RNAcentral lists this ribosomal RNA (472 nucleotides) under uncultured anaerobic ammonium-oxidizing bacterium. Its description in RNAcentral is "bacterial SSU rRNA". It matches the Rfam family "Bacterial small subunit ribosomal RNA", at positions 365 to 832 of the family's 1533-position model. The record is from RNAcentral.
UUCGCAAUGCCCGAAAGGGUGACCGAGCGACGCCGCGUGCGGGAUGAAGGCCUUCGGGUCGUAAACCGCUUUUAUUUGGGACGAAUGCCUGUGUCGUGAACACGGGAGUGACGGUACCAGAGGAAUAAGCCUCGGCUAACUCCGUGCCAGCAGCCGCGGUAAGACGGAGGAGGCAAGCGUUGUUCGGAAUUAUUGGGCGUAAAGGGCGCGUAGGCGGAUCGGCGUGUCUGGCGUGAAAUCUCCACCGCUCACCGGGGAGAGGUCGCUGGAAACUACCGAUCUGGAGUUCGGCAGAGGACCAUGGAAUUCCAGGUGUAGCGGUGGAAUGCGUAGAUAUCUGGAAGAACACCUGUGGCGAAGGCGGUGGUCUGGGCCGAAACUGACGCUGAGGCGCGAAAGCCAGGGGAGCAAACGGGAUUAGAUACCCCGGUAGUCCUGGCUGUAAACGUUGGGCACUAAGUAGAGGGGUUUU